Molecule: ribosomal RNA, 197 nt
Filed under: uncultured bacterium
Lineage: Bacteria
Description: partial 16S ribosomal RNA
Rfam family: Bacterial small subunit ribosomal RNA
Source: RNAcentral
UUAUGAAAGACAGAUGUGAAAUCCCCGGGCUCAACCUGGGAGUUGCGCUUGUGACUGAACGGCUAGAGUACGGCAGAGGGGGGUGGAAUUCCACGUGUAGCAGUGAAAUGCGUAGAUAUGUGGAGGAACACCGAUGGCGAAGGCAGCCCCCUGGGCCGAUACUGACGCUCAUGCACGAAAGCGUGGGGAGCAAACAG